GAUGAACGCUGGCGGCGUGCCUAAUACAUGCAAGUCGAGCGAACGGACGAGAAGCUUGCUUCUCUGAUGUUAGCGGCGGACGGGUGAGUAACACGUGGAUAACCCACCUAUAAGACUGGGAUAACUUCGGGAAACCGGAGCUAAUACCGGAUAAUAUUUUGAACCGCAUGGUUCAACAGUGAAAGACGGUCUUGCUGUCACUUAUAGAUGGAUCCGGGCUGCAUUAGCUAGUUGGUAAGGUAACGGCUUACCAAGGCAACGAUGCAUAGCCGACCUGAGAGGGUGAUCAGCCACACUGGAACUGAGACACGGUCCAGACUCCUACGGGAGGCAGCAGUAGGGAAUCUUCCGCAAUGGGCGAAAGCCUGACGGAGCAACGCCGCGUGAGCGAUGAAGGUCUUCGGAUCGUAAAACUCUGUUAUUAGGGAAGAACAUAUGUGUAAGUAACUGUGCACAUCUUGACGGUACCUAAUCAGAAAGCCACGGCUAACUACGUG
RNAcentral lists this ribosomal RNA (497 nucleotides) under uncultured bacterium. RNAcentral's name for it is "partial 16S ribosomal RNA". It matches the Rfam family "Bacterial small subunit ribosomal RNA", at positions 28 to 507 of the family's 1533-position model. The record is from RNAcentral.